RNAcentral lists this ribosomal RNA (183 nucleotides) under uncultured bacterium. Its description in RNAcentral is "partial 16S ribosomal RNA". It matches the Rfam family "Bacterial small subunit ribosomal RNA", at positions 335 to 524 of the family's 1533-position model. The record is from RNAcentral.
ACUCCUACGGGAGGCAGCAGUGGGGAAUCUUGCGCAAUGGGGGAAAGCCUGACGCAGCGACGCCGCGUGAACGAUGAAGGUCUUCGGAUUGUAAAGUUCAAUAAGGAGGGAAAAAUAAGCAGUGAUGUGAUGAUUGUACCUCUCUAAAGCACCGGCUAACUACGUGCCAGCAGCCGCGGUAAU